RNAcentral lists this ribosomal RNA (506 nucleotides) under uncultured bacterium. RNAcentral's name for it is "partial 16S ribosomal RNA". It matches the Rfam family "Bacterial small subunit ribosomal RNA", at positions 28 to 507 of the family's 1533-position model. The record is from RNAcentral.
GACGAACGCUGGCGGCGUGCUUAACACAUGCAAGUCGAACGGUGAAGGGACUGGUUUUGCUGGUCCUGGAUGAGUGGCGAACGGGUGAGUAACACGUGAGUAACCUGCCCCCUUCUUCUGGAUAACCGCAUGAAAGUGUGGCUAAUACGGGAUAUUCUGGGUCUGUCGCAUGGUGGGCCUGGGAAAGAUUGCGCCUUUUUUGGUGUUUUUGGUGGGGGAUGGGCUCGCGGCCUAUCAGCUUGUUGGUGGGGUGAUGGCCUACCAAGGCGGUGACGGGUAGCCGGCCUGAGAGGGUGGACGGUCACACUGGGACUGAGACACGGCCCAGACUCCUACGGGAGGCAGCAGUGGGGAAUAUUGCACAAGGGGCGCAAGCCUGAUGCAGCGACGCCGCGUGAGGGAUGGAGGCCUUCGGGUUGGGAACCUCUUUCGCCAGUGAAGCAGGCCUGCCUCUUUUUGUGGGUGGGUUGACGGUAGCUGGAUAAGAAGCGCCGGCUAACUACGUG